Non-coding RNA from Cinara cedri, 231 nucleotides. The record is from the annotation of a GenBank genome assembly. Lineage: Eukaryota; Metazoa; Arthropoda; Insecta; Hemiptera; Aphididae.
AAGACCUAAACACCAAAUAAAAUAAAUGUAUAGAGUAUGUACAAUUAAAAACAAAAAGCCCAAUAAAGUAAUUUAUUAUACAAACCAAUGAAAAUACUUCACAAAACUGAAAAUCUGUUGCUGGUAACUUGCUUAAGCCAAAAAUCCAUUAAGAUCAAUUUAUACAUACCAAUUUAUUUAAUUCUGAACUCGAUACAAUUAUGUUAAACUCUAACUAAUUUCUUUUUUUUU